This 491-nucleotide ribosomal RNA is filed under the name uncultured bacterium. RNAcentral describes it as "partial 16S ribosomal RNA". It matches the Rfam family "Bacterial small subunit ribosomal RNA", at positions 28 to 507 of the family's 1533-position model. The record is from RNAcentral.
GAUGAACGCUGGCUACAGGCUUAACACAUGCAAGUCGAGGGGAAACGACGGGGAAGCUUGCUUCCCAGGGCGUCGACCGGCGCACGGGUGAGUAACGCGUAUCCAACCUGCCUCUGACUGAGGGAUAACCCGUCGAAAGUCGGCCUAAUACCUCAUGGCAUCGUCUGCGGGCAUCCAACGACGAUUAAAGAUUUCAUCGGUCAGGGAUGGGGAUGCGUCUGAUUAGCUUGUUGGCGGGGUAACGGCCCACCAAGGCUACGAUCAGUAGGGGUUCUGAGAGGAAGGUCCCCCACAUUGGAACUGAGACACGGUCCAAACUCCUACGGGAGGCAGCAGUGAGGAAUAUUGGUCAAUGGGCGGGAGCCUGAACCAGCCAAGUAGCGUGCAGGAUGACGGCCCUAUGGGUUGUAAACUGCUUUUAUGCGGGGAUAAAGUGAGGGACGUGUCCUUCAUUGCAGGUACCGCAUGAAUAAGAACCGGCUAAUUCCGUG